GUCCACACCGUAAACGAUGAAUGCUAGUUGUCUGCAUGCAUGCAUGUAGGUGACGCAGCUAACGCAUUAAGCAUUCCGCCUGGGGAGUACGGCCGCAAGGUUAAAACUCAAAGAAAUUGACGGGGGCCCGCACAAGCGGUGGAGCAUGUGGUUUAAUUCGAAGCAACGCGCAGAACCUUACCUACCCUUGACAUGCCUGGAUGUGAUCAGAGAUGAGAUCGUUCCUUCGGGACCAGUGCACAGGUGCUGCAUGGCU
Molecule: ribosomal RNA, 256 nt
Filed under: uncultured bacterium
Lineage: Bacteria
Description: partial 16S ribosomal RNA
Rfam family: Bacterial small subunit ribosomal RNA
Source: RNAcentral